CUGAACUCUGGUAAGAAGACUGCCUAGCAAUCAGUCUGAUAAUCUAAUAUUACAAGAUAUAUGAUGCUAAGGAUAUGAUUCUUCUCAUUCUUAGUAUUAUUUUAGGUUUUUCUCAGGAACUGUACUCUAUGCAGUCUUUCAAAUAUAUAGCGUAUUUCCAGUAGGUUAUGAUAAAGUCAACUCUCCUAAUCUUGAAGCUCCUAAUCAUGAGUAGAAAUAAUUACUGAAGCAAGUUAUCCCCUCUGUGUAUUCAUUCUGAACAAUACUACGUGAUGGCACCAAUAUUUUCCCCUGUUGAUCUUGGGGAAACAGACUAUAAUUUUUCAUGGCAGCUUGUUAAUGCUCUUUAUUUUUAUUGUAUUUUUUAAGAUUUUAUUUAUUUGACAAAGAGAGAGGGAACACAAGCGAGGGAGUGGAAGAGGGAGAAGCAGACUUCCCAUUGAGCAGGGAGCCUCACGCAGGGCUCGAUCCCAGGACUCUGGGAUCAAAACCUGAGCCGAAGGCAGAUGCUUAACGAUUGAGGCACCCAGGCACCUCGUGGUAAUGCUUUUUAAUUCGAAAGUUCAUUUGUAUUAUAGUUCAAAGCCUUCUCCCUAUUAGUCACCUCUGUAGCAGAGUAAUUACAUUAUAACAUAAUUUUCUUUCAACAGAGGCACAAAAAUUUAUUCUUCUUACAUGCUAAAAACAAUUCUUAAACGUUUUCCACUUCCAUUGAUGUUGAAGUAGCAGAACAAUCCUAUGACCUCACACGAGGCUGGGCAUAGUUUGUGUUCCCAUCAGCCAAGGAGGAAAGAUCUAAUACCCAGGGCAUCAAACAGUACUCAGGAGGGCAUUGCCUUUGUGAAGCCAAAUAAGCCCCAAAUCCCCUCUGGCCAAUCCUAAAAAUUAGCUUCAAAAACAUCAAACCAGGGACGCCUGGUGGAUCCGUCAGUUAAGCAUCUGCCUUGGGCUCAAGUCAUGAUCCCAAGGUCCUAGGAUUGAGGCCCAAAUCGGGCUCCCUGCUCCGUGGGGAGUCUGCUUCUUCCUAUCCCUCUGCCUGCUGCCUCCCCUGCUUGUGCUCUUUCUCUGUCAGAUAAAUAAAUAAAUAAAAUCUAAAAAAAAAAAAAAAAA
Long non-coding RNA from Mustela lutreola (European mink), 1110 nucleotides. RefSeq lists it as uncharacterized. The transcript has 2 exons. Lineage: Eukaryota; Metazoa; Chordata; Mammalia; Carnivora; Mustelidae. The record is from RefSeq and is a predicted model, not a curated record.